RNAcentral lists this unclassified non-coding RNA (299 nucleotides) under plant metagenome. RNAcentral describes it as "partial contains 5.8S ribosomal RNA, internal transcribed spacer 2, and large subunit ribosomal RNA". The stretch from base 1 to 105 matches the Rfam family "5.8S ribosomal RNA", at positions 50 to 154 of the family's 154-position model. The record is from RNAcentral.
GAAAUGCGAUAAGUAGUGUGAAUUGCAGAAUUCAGUGAAUCAUCGAAUCUUUGAACGCACAUUGCGCCCCUUGGUAUUCCAUGGGGCAUGCCUGUUCGAGCGUCAUUUGUACCCUCAAGCUCUGCUUGGUGUUGGGUGUUUGUCCCCGUCUCCGCGCCCCCAUUACCCCCUCGGCGGGACGGUCGGAAGCCCGCAGCGUUGCGACACCCGUUCGCUCCGGAGGACCGCCGCCCGCGCCGUUAAAACUCUUCAUCACAGGUUGACCUCGGAUCGGGUAGGGAUACCCGCUGAACUUAAGC